GCCGGGGGCGGGCGCCAGGAGUUAAGAUGGCGGCGGGAGCGGUGCCGGGGGAGAAGCGCGGUGCUCGUGCCAGGCCUGGUGCCCGGCUCCCUUCCUCGCUGUGGGUGCUCUUGUCAGGGAGCCGCGGUAAUGGCAGCGCGCGAGUCAACCGUGUAGCUGAGGGAGCCCGGCCGCGCGGGAGCGGAGCGGGAAGCGGCUGCGUGCCGCCGGAACAGCGCUUUGUCCCGUGUGGAGAUGCGGCAGCGAGAAACGCGUUCCUUAACCGAUGAAAUAAAUAUUCGCCCACGCUGUGCAAGCAGUGCUCGUUUUACGUUGUUAAGCCUUUUCCUACGUGCCGUUGCGGGCAGCGGGGCUGUGCGCUGUGCCGACUGCUGCUGUGGGACGCCCGGCAGCACCGCGCGCCUCCUGCGAGGAUGUCAGGGCUUCAAACGAGGGUUUGUCGUCCGUAAAUAGAUCGCCUUCAGUGCCCGCUGAAUGCUGAGCGCUGUGACGAGAAGUGCCGAGUUUGUGCUGGAAGGCCAAAUAUUACAGCUGUGAGUUUAUGCAGACAUUUUCUGUGAAACCAUUCUAGCCGUACUGAGCUUGGCUGAAGGCUCCCACAGCCUCAGCACAGAAUGGAUUGGCCCUAAUUCUGUCCUGCAGAACUAGUGAUUGAGUAUCCCUAACGAAAGGGCUGGAAGAUCUGCAGAUCCCAUCUUGAGCUGUGAACUCCUCAGGCUGGAGGAGAUGGAUAUCCACAUCUGGAAGUGGCAGUAGCACAUCUGGACAGGGUCAUGGAGACUCGGCAAUUCCUGGGGGCUGUCAAACUGAUUACACGCAGCAAACCAGCCGGUGUGCCUCUGCCUGCUGCUUAGAGUAAGCACUGAUAUGUCAGUCAGACUUUACUAUCAAGUACGAGCUUAUGUGCGCUUCAAGUGUUGUUCAGCCUUCAACUCCUUGGUGUAUUCAGUCAUUUAAAAACUUUCAUACACUCUAAAAAAAAAUGUUGUCUUGCACUGCACUGCCAGGGGGAUCUUUGUUUCAAAUACAGAGCGUCAGCCUGCAAAGCUUCUGUGGAAGACCAGGCUCCCAGUGUUAAAAUGAUCCUUGUUUUCUAUUUCUAUACAAUAAUUUCUGUGAGAUUCUUCUGGAUGGAGGGCUAUAAAAACGUUAAGCUGCUAUUCAUCACGCUGACUUGCAUGAUUUUAUGUGUGCCCAUUCUGUAUAGCAGGAAUACUUAGUGGGAAAUUUAUUCUUCGCUUUUUCACACACCAUUACAUUGUAUUUGUGAGGAUUUAGCACGUUUUCUGGCUUCGCUCACCAAAUCAAGGGUCCACGUUUAAUAGGUACAGCUGAUGUUACAAAAACUAGGCACAAUUACCAAUUAUGUCUCUGUCUUGUAGUAAUAUAUCUAUCUAAAGAAAGAAACAUUGGGAGAUCUGAACUUCUGCAUCAAAGAGGAGACUGUCUUUAUGAAUAGGCCCUGUUUAUUCCAUUCUUGAGAACAACAAGCAACUACCACUAUACUCUAUGUAAACUGUAAGGCCAUUAAUCACUAUCAGGAGCUGCCAACACCCCCCAGACGUUUACAUAUACACAGAGGAAAACGAACACGAGUUUUCUUCACUUAUCUGAGCGUCACUGCCACCCCGAAGGAUGUGAAGAUCUAACUCCUUUAUUUGACAGCACGGGAGGACUCGGGCACUCAGCUGGAAAGGUACCACAGACAGUCCAGUUUUGUACCUUCAACCAUACAACUUGAAGUUCAGAGAAGAGCAGGAAUACAAACUGUAAUACCAAUGGAAAAAAGCUACUUGUGAUGCAGGCAGCAGAGCUACUUGGAUGGUGUCGUUCAGGAAAAAGAGUGAGCUGUCUAUUAUAUCUGAUAUAAUAUAUACAUAUACAGGAGAAGGGGAGAGGAGGAGGACACCAUAUUCUCCAAACGCAUUAACAUAUCUCUUAUUUCACAGGAUUGUAACUGUACAUUUUAACCCCUCAAUAGUUACUCAAGGACUGAAACUGCCUUAGGUGUUAAUUACAGAUAAUGAAAAACAUUAGGUAGAAGUGAAGGAAAGUGACUGACUAAGUAUUGAUUACAAAAACAAGUUUUUCUAAGUGGGAUGUUUGUUUUUAGUGUUAUCAUGAAAUCAAGCAUAGUCUUAUGUCUGAGCAUCACAUGUAAUUUCUGGAAAACCUUGUGUAACAGCAGAUAACUCAUGUAACAAGGCUCUAUAUCACUAGAUGCCAUUUUCCUUCCUUUUUAAUGAAACUACAUGGGCUUUAGGAUCCUUACAAAGAGGAACAGUUUCAGACUGAGUUGAGAAUUGUGCUGCUUGCUUUUUCACAAAUACUUGAGUCAUGUUCUUCCUGAGCAUAAAUGUUGACAGUGCAGCAAGAACAAACAGUAAAUCAAUUCAGUGGCAACAGCCACUAGGUGCUCUGCUUUCAUCCUUCCUUCUCAACAACUACUCUUACUCAGUGGCUUCGUUUUAUUUCAUUACAUCUCUAUAAAGCAAUGAAGGGAGUGCAGAGAAAGCAUCAUUCCAUGAGUUGCUGUCAAACUGAGCCAAGCCCCAGCAGUAUGUAAGCACCUGUUGUUGGGAGACCUUUUAUGAAUUAUACCCAAAAGUCAGACUGCAGCUGAACUGAAAGUGAGGUUCUCCUUUGAAAAGGCUGUAAAAGCAACUGGUCAGUUUGGGUGAAAGGGUAUACAUCAGUGGAACAGACAAAUCAUACUUCAGGAAUACAUACUGCUUUAUGUGUGGAAGAAGUAGUAGGGAGUAAGCAUAUGUCCCUUUGAUCAUCACAGAACUGGCUUUCAGUUAUACAGCCUACAUUUUCAAAUUGUGGACCUUGAAAGACCAAUCUAUAGAACAGAAUAGUAUAUUACCAGUGAUAAAAAGGGAAAAAAAGCAAACAUACACAGUUGCAUAGUGAAGAGAUUAAAGGAAAACAGAAGAAAGAAAAUCAUGCUGCGUACUUGAGCUUACCUUACCUUGUCUGAGUGUGAAAACAUCCAUAUUAAUCAAUCUCGGGAGAUGCAGACAGAGCACAAGAGAAGCUUUGUUGCUGUGUUGGGUAUCAGGAAGGCCUUGAGACCACCCUCGAGGGGAGAAGUUGAUCAUCUUGCAUUAAGUUGUGAUGCUUUGUUGCUUUGUCUAGCACAGGUGGCAGCUCCUCUCCUGUUUGCAUGGGGAAGCACAGUGCAAACUGUGGUUGUGCCACAGCAGUUGUGGGUGGCAGUGGGAGCAGACGUAGCUGGCAGGAAGUGACAGCAAGGAACACAAAGGAAAAAAACCUUGGGAUUUGGAAGCAAAAGGUGUGAACGGGAAGUGGGAUACUAUAGUGGUGCCUCUGAGGAGGCAGGAGCUGAUCCAGGCCUUGUUGGCUAAGUGCAUUGGAAGGGCAACUUGAGGAGGCGGCCAAGGAAAGGAAAGGGAGGCAGAGAGAAUGUGAGAAUGUUGUGUGACUGGAAAGCAAACCACAAAGGGCAAGUUUCUACUUCAUCAAAGCUGUGUCUGUUUCUUAGCUUGAUCUGCAUCAUGAUAUUCACUUGCGAGUGAUAUGCAGCAUUUUUGGUAGAAAAGAGUGGCUCAGCUGUUACUUUAAGAGCAAAACAGGGCUCACUGUAGCUAUGAGGCUGCACUGAGCUCUUCCACAACAGGUGGAAAGGGACAAAAAGGGUUAUUUAAAGGCCGCUUGCCCUGGUUGCAGUGGCAGGUGUGCUGGCAGACGCUGGGGCUCAGUGACCUUCUAGGGCUGUGCUCCCACUCCAACGGAGUGGGCUGGAUGUGACUGACAGGGCCUCUGUGCCCUCGGAACGUAACGUCUGAACUGCUGUGAGUCAUAUUCCAGCUAGAGGUGGCAGUGCAGAGGCAGCGGCCGCCAUGUCCGAGGGCCACCCCUCAGGCAGUACAGGAGAUGCCGAUGCCGGGCCAGCAGGGCCACCUCAGGCAGUGAGGCUGCUCGGGGCGGCUGCGUCUUAGGAUCGUCGGUCCCAAACACUCACGCAGACAUAUUUCCCCUCCGGGACUUCUGCCGGCCCCUCGUGACGACGUGAUCACCCCGCCACAGACGGCGUCUCCACACGGGCCAGCGGCGGCGCUAAGGAGACGCCCGCGCUUCGAGCGCGGCUCUCACGGUGAAGGUGCGCGGCCACGUGCGCUGGGUGACGGCAACGGCGGCGCGCACGCAUGCGCAUAUCGCCCUCAGCCGCUCCUCACAUGCACACCUGCGCGCGCCGCCGCCCAUCUCAUCCCCCCCGCAUCGCCUCCCUCCUUCCUUCUCUUCUCCCGCCUCUCGCGCCGUCCUCUG
RNAcentral lists this long non-coding RNA (4293 nucleotides) under Gallus gallus (chicken). Its description in RNAcentral is "lncRNA (ENSGALG00010029101.1)". The record is from RNAcentral. Lineage: Eukaryota; Metazoa; Chordata; Aves; Galliformes; Phasianidae.